This 153-nucleotide ribosomal RNA is filed under the name Albizia lebbeck. Its description in RNAcentral is "partial 5.8S ribosomal RNA". It matches the Rfam family "5.8S ribosomal RNA". From Rfam's summary of the family: 5.8S ribosomal RNA (5.8S rRNA) is a component of the large subunit of the eukaryotic ribosome. It is transcribed by RNA polymerase I as part of the 45S precursor that also contains 18S and 28S rRNA. Functionally, it is thought that 5.8S rRNA may be involved in ribosome translocation. The record is from RNAcentral. Lineage: Eukaryota; Viridiplantae; Streptophyta; Magnoliopsida; Fabales; Fabaceae.
AUAUCUCGGCUCUUGCAUCGAUGAAGAACGUAGCGAAAUGCGAUACUUGGUGUGAAUUGCAGAAUCCCGUGAACCAUCGAGUCUUUGAACGCAAGUUGCGCCCGAGGCCGCCAGGCCGAGGGCACGCCUGCCUGGGUGUCACGCAACGUCGCC